This 268-nucleotide long non-coding RNA is filed under the name Elaeis guineensis (African oil palm). Its description in RNAcentral is "long non-coding RNA (EGUI_LNC046292)". Lineage: Eukaryota; Viridiplantae; Streptophyta; Magnoliopsida; Arecales; Arecaceae. The record is from RNAcentral.
GGGUCUACAGUGUAGAGACACUGGGGUAAAGAUGUAGGUGGUUGUUAGAGAACAACUUGCACUGAGUAUGACCAACAUGAGAACCAUAUAGAUGUCUACUCACUCAUCAGUAUUCUUUUCGAUGCUAGAGUGGUUCUCUGAUCUGUGGUGAUAUUGGCUAUUCACAGUGAGGCUACUGAGUUUGACUGCAUAUUUUUUUGGUCUCUAGCCAUUCAGGUCCUUGCUGUGUAUGCUGGCUUCAGUAGGUUCAGGUUCACUGUUUGGAGUA